This is a transfer RNA of Vitis vinifera (wine grape), 74 nucleotides long. It matches the Rfam family "tRNA". Rfam says of the family: Transfer RNA (tRNA) molecules are approximately 80 nucleotides in length. Lineage: Eukaryota; Viridiplantae; Streptophyta; Magnoliopsida; Vitales; Vitaceae. The record is from Rfam.
GUCUAGGUUGUGUAGUUGGUUAUCACACUAGUCUCACACACUAAAGGUUCCUGGUUCGAACCCAAGCUCAGACA